This 267-nucleotide unclassified non-coding RNA is filed under the name Hevea brasiliensis (rubber tree). Lineage: Eukaryota; Viridiplantae; Streptophyta; Magnoliopsida; Malpighiales; Euphorbiaceae. The record is from RNAcentral.
CGGAUCAGAAGCUCAGUUGACUUCUGGUACUUGCGGAUCUCACGAAGAGCCACAGUUCCUGGCCUGAAUCUGUGAGGCUUCUUCACUCCUCCGGUGGCUGGAGCUGACUUUCUGGCAGCUUUGGUCGCCAAUUGCUUCCUUGGAGCUUUUCCUCCGGUAGAUUUUCGGGCUGUUUGCUUAGUACGAGCCAUUUGGGAAUUAGGGUUUAUGAGAUUCGGUGAAAAGAGAUAGAAAAUUUGAGAUAGUUCUUGAGAUUUUGAAUGUGAU